This is a long non-coding RNA of Capra hircus (goat), 2357 nucleotides long. The record is from Ensembl. NCBI's taxonomy places the organism in Eukaryota, Metazoa, Chordata, Mammalia, Artiodactyla, Bovidae.
CAGGGGCCGUGCCAUGAAGCCCACCAUCCUGGGCACAAUGUCACCCGAGUCUGUAAGUGGGGUGUCCAGAGCUUGGCCGCAAGACAAUUUGGUGUAUAGCUAAUGGGAUGGUCACCACCGGCCUGGGGAUGAAACACGGGAAAUUCUUCCCCAAUCAGCCCAGCAGAGCUGAGCAUCAGACCUGGGAGAUAGGCUGGGGGGUCAUCAGUCAUGAACCCUUGGCAGUUCUGAGAGCAGCGUCCCCCCAAGCAAUGCCUCCUCUUGGGGUCAACCUUCCCUCCCUCUGAGGCUCUGCUACAGACUGUGCCAUGUCCCCCCAAAUUCAUAUGUUAAGUCAUGACCCCCAAUAUCUCAGAAAGUGACUGUUUGGAGGUGAGGUCUCUACAGAAGUAAUUAAGGUAAAUGACUCAUAGAUGUGGGAUCUUAAUUCUCUAUGACUGGUGUGGUAUAAGAGAAGAGAUCAGGACACAGACACACACAGGGGGAUGACCAUGUAGAAACACAGGAAGAAGCUGGUCAUCUACAAGCUGAGGAGAGAGGCCCCACCCGCACCUUGAUCUUAGACUCUGGCCUCCAGGACCAGGAGAGGACAAAGGCCUGCGGUGGCUGUUACGGCGCCUGAGCUGACCAGGACAGGGUGCUCUCUCUUGCUGCUCCCACCACAGGGGCUCAGGGCUCAGUGACUGCUGUGGGUCCCUGUCAUCACUCUCUCCUGGGACCCGGCACUGCAGCUCCAGAUACUGUCCCCGCAGGGGUCACUCACAAGCACGACCCCACCUUACCGGUCCAGACUCGGCUCUCCAGUCCUGGGCCUGACCAUCCUCACAGCCAGCUCACAGCAGAACUCAACCUGAGCCCUGUAAAACCCCUGCCAUCAGCAUAGCCAUGGGGCACCACCACUUACCAGGUCUCCUUUGAAGCUCAGAGUCCAUCUCUCCCAGCGCCUACCCAUGACAUUGGUGGCCACUGCCUCUCCUCCCACCCCCAUCCCGUUACAUGCAUCUCCACAUCCUGAUAGCAUCACAGAGGCUUCUUGGGUUUGCUCAGAUGCUUUCUUCUGGGAACUGGAAGAGGAAUCCAGCCCCACCAAACUCCCAGAACUGGGAUAAGGGAGGAAAUCUGCAGCCUAAGGAGGCAGGAAAUAUUAUAUACAUCCAUCAAGUCCACAUGGAUGCACUGGAGCUGAGCAGGUCCCGUGUUAUAACCUGGGGAUGCUGCCCUGGGCCAGGCAGCCCACCUGAGGCAAGUACCCUCUUUCCCUUUGAAGGGGAGAAAGAAGAAAGCUCUUCUCUGACCUGUCUCUCCCGGGGGCUCCCAUCCCCUCCAGCGAUGCUGCCCGCCAGCCUGCUUCUCCAUCCCUCCCCCAUCUUUCACAGAUACCCUUCACGGGAGCCCAGCUCUCCAUGGAGUGCAAAGCACAUGGUCCUUCAAGCUCACUCCAGGUGCUCAUAGCCCUAUCACAUCUCAAGGCUGAAAUCCAGACUCUUCUAGGCAUAUGCAUGUGUCUAAGUCAUUUCAGUUGUGUCUGACUCUUUGUGACCCUAUGGACUAUUAGCCCACCAGGCUCCUCUGUCCAUGGGAUUCUCCAGGCAAGAAUACGGGAGUGGGGAGCCAUUCCCUCCUCCAAAGGAUUUCCCUACCCAGGGAUAGAACCUGGGUCUCCUGCAUUGCAGCCUGAUUCUUUACGGCUAAGCCACCAGGGAAGCCCCUUCCAGGCACAGCCCUCCGUAAAGGAGCAAAUCCAAGGCCCAGGCCUCAGGACCCCAUCUUCAACUUGCAUCUAGUCCUGGCUUCCCGUGUUCACCCCUUUCAGCAGAAAUCUGCUGGAGGGUCUCGGGCAAUGGAGAGUCUGGUCCUCACCCUGCUAUGUGUAUAAAAUCCUCCAGGAAUUCCCUUCACCUUUCACAGGGAGGGUGGGCCGGGCCUCUGGUCCAGGCUCUGCCUUCCUGGAGGGCUCCACCAGGCUCCCCUCAAUCUGCUAUCCGCUCAGAAAGUAGGAAAGUGGGCAUUUCAGGUGUAUCAAAUUGCUUGUGUGGCUGUUAAUCGGGCCACCCUUUGACAAGGGCAAACGAUUUAACCACCUCAAUCAGUUGAAUUCAUACUGGGAGCGCUGUUCUGAUUUAUCGGUAAUUGUGUCUGAACCUUCCCUGGGAUAGAAGGAUGUAGGCAUAUCUCUCUCUGAGCUCUGCCAGGAGCUGCUCUGGAUGCCCUGUUCCCUCUUGCGGCCUCAGGACACUCCAUAGGGAACAGAGAGUAUUCUGGAUGAGGGCCAGCAUGCCAAGUCAGCCAGGAGCCCGAGUCCCCCCACCCCACAGACAUGGUCACAGAGAAUGGGACCUCAUCUCCCCACCACUCAC